AUGCAAGACUACUUCGCGGAGAAUCCUACAUAUCCACCGCACCUCUUCCGGAGAAGGUACCGAAUGCGCCGAUCCCUCUUUGUCAAAAUUGUCCAAGCUUGUGAGGCAAACUUUCGGUAUUUUACUCAAAGAAGAAAUGCUGCAGGCUUAAAGGGAUUAGUGCAUAUAAAAAAAUCUCCGCGGCAAUGCGGGUGA
This 195-nucleotide ribosomal RNA is filed under the name Triticum aestivum (bread wheat). Its description in RNAcentral is "partial small subunit ribosomal RNA". The record is from RNAcentral. Lineage: Eukaryota; Viridiplantae; Streptophyta; Magnoliopsida; Poales; Poaceae.